AAUUAACGCUGGCGGCAUGCCUAACACAUGCAAGUCGCACGAGAAAGCCCGGUUCGCCGGGCGAGUAAAGUGGCGCACGGGUGAGUAACGCGUGGAUAAUCUACCUCUUUCUGGGGGAUAACGCACCGAAAGGUGCGCUAAUACCGCAUAACCCGGUCGGUUUUCGGAUUGAUCGGUAAAGGUGGCCUCUUCAUGAAAGCUACCGGGAAGAGACGAGUCCGCGUCCCAUUAGCUAGUUGGUAGGGUAAUGGCCUACCAAGGCGACGAUGGGUAGCUGGUCUGAGAGGACGAUCAGCCACACUGGAACUGGAACACGGUCCAGACUCCUACGGGAGGCAGCAGUGAGGAAU
This 350-nucleotide ribosomal RNA is filed under the name uncultured bacterium. Its description in RNAcentral is "bacterial SSU rRNA". It matches the Rfam family "Bacterial small subunit ribosomal RNA", at positions 29 to 362 of the family's 1533-position model. The record is from RNAcentral.